Non-coding RNA from Odocoileus virginianus texanus, 365 nucleotides. Lineage: Eukaryota; Metazoa; Chordata; Mammalia; Artiodactyla; Cervidae. The record is from the annotation of a RefSeq genome assembly.
AUGUGCUUCAGCCUCCUGUGCUGUGUGACCUUUUUUUUCUGGGGAGCAGGCUCCAUGGACACUGGGGUCAUCCAGAGUCCAGGUCAUCUGGUCAAAGGAAAAGACCAGAAAGCCAAGAUGGAUUGUGUCCCCAUUAAAGGACAUGUUCAUGUUUACUGGUAUCGCAAGAAGCUGGAAGAGGNUAUGUUCAAACAGCGAUUUUCAGCUGAGUGCCCCAAAAACUCACCCUGCAGCCUGGAAAUCAAGUCCACCGAGGCAGCGGACUCAGCUCUGUAUUUCUGUGCCAGCAGCCAGUCCACAGUGCAGCACAUCAGCUCUUCCUAGAACACAAACUCACCAAGAACCCAGCUCAGGAAAUCAGCAGU